This is a long non-coding RNA of Serinus canaria (Common canary), 1821 nucleotides long. NCBI's taxonomy places the organism in Eukaryota, Metazoa, Chordata, Aves, Passeriformes, Fringillidae. The record is from Ensembl.
GGGAGCAGUUGCUGCCCAGGGUGGCAGAUUGGGGGUGGUUUGGGUGCCAGGGGGUAUUUUUGGCCUUAUUUUGUUGCUGCCCAAGCACCUGGGUCGUGCCGAUUGUAAAAGGGAGUCACGGCGGGUUGGGAAAGGGAGUGGAGGGGGGGCAGCUGGGGUUGGUAGCGCUGCUGGGGAGAUGCCAAAAAACCAAAACAAAACACGUUUUCAUUUUGUCUGCACCAGCCUGGGCGCAGGCGAGCGCGGGAGAGAGGGAGGGAGAGGGAGGCGCACGCCAACAGAAAGCCGCCGUGCUCAGACGCGGGCCUGNNNNNNNNNNNNNNNNNNNNGGCGAGCGAGCGGCGGAGGCCCCCCCGUGCCAUGCACACACACCCCCCCCGCCACCGAGCCACCCACCCCACCCUUGGCACCCGACAGCCCCGGUGGCCUCGUGCGGGGAUGGCGAGGCCCCCGCCGGCGGGAGCACCGAAGGCUCCUCGUCGGCGAGGCUUAAAUCGAGCCGAAGCCCCGCUCGGCGGGCAAACGAGGCCACUCGGCAUCUGCUGUACCUGUUCCCGCUGCCUUCAUCUCGCCUUGGAACCGUGACAAGAGCGCACUCGCCUCUGGUGGGCUCUCAAAGCCGCGGGUCUGUAACCCUUUGCAGGAAGUUGGCACCGAUCCCAGGAAUGAUUUGCCUACGUGGAGCUCAGCGCUGCGGGAGAACAGAGCAAACAGCCUUAUCGAGGGCAGCUGUGCCACAGGGCACUUCCUCAUGCGUGGCUGCAAGAUGGGGCCCUCCAUGGCUGCGGGGGAGGGCUGGCAGCCCUUGGCCUUCCCACUGACCAGACACCAGGAAGACACCAGGCACCAUCCAGGCAUCGGGAGGGCUCUCUGGGAUGUUCCCUCCCGGCUCCACAGCAGGAGAGUGGCAUGGACAGGAGGGGGUUUGGACUGAACUGAAGGGUCUUCAGCAGGACAGCUCUGCAGGGGAAAGGAGAGGAUGGAACAUUGGCUCUGAGCUCAGCUGCACUUCCCUUGACACAAAGGCUCAUCUUGCUGCUUUCCAGAUCCUGCCAGACUCGAGCAUCCAUGCCCAGCGGAGAGACAGACCAGCCUUGACCUGAGAUUCCCUCUCCUGGCUGCUGUCGCUGCCUCCCUUCUCCCCCGGGCAGCUGGGAGCAGAUGAGGCCAAAGUCCCAGCAAUCUCAGUUCUCCACUGGAGGCUGAUAAACGGUGUGGGCACAGAACAGCAGCAAUCCCCACCCAGGCUGGCUUUGUGCAGGAGAGUCAAUAUUUAAACCAGAGGUUGUUUCCUGGGCAGACAGGGGAGCCCCAGCGGGACAAACCCCCGGCUCCAUCCCGGGCACCAAACCUCCUCCUCCACCCCUUCAUUUGUUCUCCCAACCACAUGUUCCAUCCUGCAUCCCCCCAUUCCUGUGGGAUCCCCCCCUUCAGCUGGGACACCUGAGCACCAGCUGCAGGGCCAGGCACUGACUAAUGAGUAGCAAUUUAAGGGAGAGGGAUGCCCAGCCAGGGUUUGGGUUGUCUCCUUGCCUGCUCCUGGUGCAGACAUUUGUCCUUGUGGUGGGGCUCCUCAAAUGAAAUUUGUCCUGGGGCCCCUCAAAUGAAGCAUGGGACAAGAAGAAUCAGGGAUAGAAAGAGGAGGUGAGAAAAUAUUCAAUCAUCCUAAGAAUGGCAGCCCCUUGCUUCAAAGUAAGGCAGUGCAGUGAAAGCUUUGAAACCUGGUUUUCAUUUAAAUUGAGCAAAAACUACUGUCAACUAUUGGGUUUUCAGCCAAGUUUGUGGGCCCUGAUGAACUCGGCAGAAAUUACUGGCAGGAUG